CGUGAACUCGUUUUCGCAUCUCCCUGCUGCAAAGAUUGGAACGGUCGAACAUUUUGAAUGGGACUCUUCGGAGUCACGGUCGACCCCAUAUACAAUUUUUGUAGUCAGGCAAAUUCUUAUUAAUUCAAGCUCCAUUCAUGCUUGAAUUUUUAGGAGCUAACAAUUAACAAAUUUCACCCCCUUUUUGCUAGUUGACUUUUUUAUGUGGUGUUCUGAAAAUUUAUUUUCAAAGCUCACACGUUUAAUUAAUUGAACGUUAAAAAUACAACUCUUAGCAAUGGAUAUCUUGGUUCUCGCAACGAUGAAGAACGCAGCGAAAUGCGAUACGUAAUGCGAAUUGCAGAAUUCAGUGAAUCAUCAAAUCUUUGAACGCAAAUUGCGCUCUUGGGUAGCCCUAGGAGCACGCCUCUCUCAGUAUCGGUUCAACAACCUCUCAGCAGCGUAUGCAAAUACGUGUUGGCUGGAAAAUGAGAGUCUGUAAAAUUUAUUUUUCAGUCUCUUGAAAUAUAUGGAGUGAGUGUAUAGACUAAUCAGCUUGAGCCUUCGGGUUUAAUAGUGGAUUCUGACUGUCGCACUUAAGUGACGUGAAUACUGGCCUUUAUGGUCUCCCUUUA
RNAcentral lists this ribosomal RNA (614 nucleotides) under uncultured fungus. RNAcentral describes it as "eukaryotic LSU rRNA". The stretch from base 267 to 420 matches the Rfam family "5.8S ribosomal RNA". Lineage: Eukaryota; Fungi. The record is from RNAcentral.